UACGGAGGGGGUUAGCGUUGUUCGGAAUUACUGGGCGUAAAGCGCACGUAGGCGGAUUAGCAAGUUAGGGGUGAAAUCCCGGGGCUCAACCCCGGAACGGCCCUUAAAACUGUUAGUCUUGAGUUCGAGAGAGGUAAGUGGAAUUCCGAGUGUAGAGGUGAAAUUCGUAGAUAUUCGGAGGAACACCAGUGGCGAAGGCG
RNAcentral lists this ribosomal RNA (200 nucleotides) under uncultured bacterium. RNAcentral's name for it is "partial 16S ribosomal RNA". It matches the Rfam family "Bacterial small subunit ribosomal RNA", at positions 524 to 723 of the family's 1533-position model. The record is from RNAcentral.